RNAcentral lists this ribosomal RNA (517 nucleotides) under bacterium enrichment culture clone A07_B5_063 (5/77). RNAcentral's name for it is "bacterial SSU rRNA". It matches the Rfam family "Bacterial small subunit ribosomal RNA", at positions 1 to 518 of the family's 1533-position model. The record is from RNAcentral.
AUUAGAGUUUGAUCCUGGCUCAGAUUGAACGCUGGCGGCAGGCCUAACACAUGCAAGUCGAGCGCGAAAGUUUCUUCGGAAGCGAGUAGAGCGGCGGACGGGUGAGUAACGCGUAGGAAUCUACCCAGUAGUGGGGGACAACUCGGGGAAACCCGAGCUAAUACCGCAUACGCCCUAAGGGGGAAAGCAGGGGAUCUUCGGACCUUGCGCUAUCGGAUGAGCCUGCGUCGGAUUAGCUUGUUGGUGAGGUAAUGGCUCACCAAGGCGACGAUCCGUAGCUGGUCUGAGAGGAUGAUCAGCCACACUGGGACUGAGACACGGCCCAGACUCCUACGGGAGGCAGCAGUGGGGAAUAUUGGACAAUGGGGGAAACCCUGAUCCAGCCAUGCCGCGUGUGUGAAGAAGGCUCUAGGGUUGUAAAGCACUUUCAGUAGGGAGGAAAAGUUGAUAGCUAAUAACUGUCAGCCCUGACGUUACCUACAGAANAAGCACCGGCAAACUCCGUGCCANCAGCCGC